GGUAACAUGGCCGAGUUGGUCUAAGGCGUUGGAUUUAAGUUUCCGCUUGAUUCCCAAUGGGUGCAAACCCGCGUGAGUUCGAACCUCACUGUUACCA
Non-coding RNA from Arthromyces matolae, 97 nucleotides. Lineage: Eukaryota; Fungi; Basidiomycota; Agaricomycetes; Agaricales; Lyophyllaceae. The record is from the annotation of a GenBank genome assembly.